GCAAUCAGUUUCCAUGUAGCAGUGUCCCAAAGCUUGACUGAUGCACUACCUCCGCCAGCAACUGCAAGAGUGGUACCCUUGGGAUCAAACCGCAUUUGCCACACUUCCGACGGUGGAGCUUCGAGAGUCGCAAUGCUAGCAUUAGUAUCGACAUCGAAGACUCGAACGAAGCUAUCAAGCGACGCAGACGCAGCGAUGACGCCUGAGGGAUGUGCAGCCACGGCGACGACACCGAGGCAGUGUCCGGUGUUGGUGCGCUCAAGGUUAAGCUCGUCGGGCUUCCAAAGCUUGACAGUCUCGUCAAGCGAUCCGGUGAGAAGAAGCGCUGGUCGGGUGGUGGUGGCAGGGACCCACGUCGCAGCCCAUACAGACUCGUCGUGCGCGUUCUCUACGGAUUUUAGGCCUGCAAGUUUCAUUGAUUUGGUGGGGGAAUUAGGAACCGCUGCUGACAAGAACCCUAGAAGGCUACAACGUUUUUUGGGGAAUUUAAAUUAUUGUGUUUGCCUGUUGAGUUGUGACGAC
This 522-nucleotide unclassified non-coding RNA is filed under the name Hevea brasiliensis (rubber tree). Lineage: Eukaryota; Viridiplantae; Streptophyta; Magnoliopsida; Malpighiales; Euphorbiaceae. The record is from RNAcentral.